This 385-nucleotide long non-coding RNA is filed under the name Marmota monax (woodchuck). The record is from RNAcentral. Lineage: Eukaryota; Metazoa; Chordata; Mammalia; Rodentia; Sciuridae.
CUUCCCCUCCCCCCAGCUCCGAAAAGCUUCCUGGAAAUGUCCUUGUUAUCACUUCCCCUCUCGGGCUGGGGGCUGGGAGCGGGCGGUCCCCUCCUCCCCACCCCCCGCCCCCGCUGUUCCGCCGGCUCUCGCAGGCUCUCAGGCGCCGCCGCGCUGCAGUGCUCAAAGAGCAGUGCCCGGGCUAGCAGCUCCGCCAAGCGCCCCGCGCUCAGGCACCCUCAGCAACGCGCUACUGUACUCGCCCGCGCCUCUGCCGUCUUCGAAAUGAGGGUCUUGGGUGGGCGCUGCCGGGCGCUCCUGGCGUGCCUCGCCCUAGUGCUUCCAGUCUCAGAGGCAAACUGUGAGUAAAUCAAUAGUGUCUUGUUUUCUGCCUUCCCCAGCAUUG